AGGGCGUAUGGUGGAUGCCUUGGGACUUGAAGGCGAUGAAGGACGUGGUAAGCUGCGAUAAGCUACGGGUAAGUGCAAACAACUUUUGAUCCGUAGAUUUCCGAAUGGGGAAACCCAUUAUGAGUAAUAUCAUAAUACUAUGUCUUGAAUAUAUAGAGACAUUAGAGCAAACGGAGUGAAUUGAAAUAUCUUAGUAACUCCUGGAAUAGAAAAUAACAAUGAUUCUCCUAGUAGCGACGAGCGAAAGGGGAAGAGCCUAAACUUAUUAUGUGCCAAAUCUGUUAAUUUUGCAUAAUAAGGGUUGUGGGGAUAAUUAUGAAUUCAUAACAGUGGAUUCGACAAGUCAAAAAGAUACAAGUUAGAAGAAUAUUUUGGAAAGAAUAACCAUAGAAGGUAAUAGUCCUGUAUUUUAAAAUUUGUAUCCUUGUUAAAUUAUUUCCCAAGUAGCAUGAAGCACGUGGAACUUUAUGUGAACCUGCCAGAACCAUCUGGUAAGGCUAAAUACUCUCAAGUCACCGAUAGUGAAUUAGUACCGUGAGGGAAAGGUGAAAAGUACACAUAGAAGUGAGUGAAAUAGAACCUGAAACCAUACGCUUACAAGCGGUCAGAGUCUCGAUUUUAUCGAGAUGAUGGCGUGCCUUUUGCAUAAUGAGCCUGCGAGUUAUCGUAUGUAGCAAGGUUAAUCUUUUAAAUGAGGAGCCGUAGCGAAAGCAAGUCCUAAAUGGGCGAUUAGUUAUGUGUGGUAGACCCGAAGUUGAGUGAGCUAUCCAUGGUCAGGAUGAAGCGACGGUAAGACGUCGUGAAGGUCCGAACCAUUGUAAGUUGAAAAUUACUUGGAUGAACUGUGGAUAGGGGUGAAAGGCCAAUCAAACUCAGCGAUAUCUGGUUCUCUUCGAAAUAGCUUUAGGGCUAGCCUUGAUAAUUUGUUGCGGAGGUAGAGCACUGAAUGGGUUAAGGAACCUUCACCGGUUACCAAUCCCAAUCAAACUUUGAAUACCGUAUACAUUAAUAUCAGGAGUCAGCUUACGGGGGAUAAGCUUCGUGAGCAAGAGGGAAACAACCCGGACCGACAGCUAAGGUCCCAAAAUGUAAAUUAAGUGAGAAAGGAAGUGAAAUUACUCAAACAGCUAGGAUGUUGGCUUAGAAGCAGCCAUUCAUUUAAAGAGUGCGUAACAGCUCACUAGUCAAGUGAUUUUGCGCCUAUAAUUUCCGGGACUUUAAAAUUUACUACCGAAGCUUCGGAUCUCGAUUUAUCGAGAUGGUAGAAGAGCGUUCUAUUAACCUGUGAAGGUCAUCUGUGAGGAUGGCUGGAGGAGAUGGAAAUGAGUAUGCAGGCACGAGUAACGAUAAAGCAGGUGAAAUACCUGCUCACCGAAAGCCCAAGGUUUCCUGAGUAAAGCUAAACUGCUCAGGGUUAGUCGGCCCCUAAGCCGAGGCUGAAAAGCGUAGGCGAUGGGAAACAGGCAAAUAUUCCUGUACCAGCAAUAAACUGUUUGAACUAUGAAGUGACACAGAAGUGAAAGAUCAGCCAUCUGACGAAAUAGGUGGUCUAAGCAUGUAGGAAGUUCUACUAGGAAAAUCCGGUAGAAUAAUUCUGAGGUGUGAUGGGGAGUCCUUAGGACAUAAACUGAUCCUAAUCAUACUGUCAAGAAAAACUUCUAUGUUAGGUUUAUUAUUGACCGUACCGUAAACCGACACAGGUAGGCGAGAUGAGUAUUCUAAGGUGAUGGACGAACUCAAGUUAAGGAACUAGGCAAAUUAGCCCCGUAACUUCGGGAUAAGGGGUGCCUUUUUUAGGUGAAGUUUUUUACAAAUGGAGCCGAAGAAGGUUGCAGUGAAAAGGCCCAAGCGACUGUUUAUCAAAAACACAGGUCUCUGCUAAGUCGAAAGACGAUGUAUAGGGACUGACACCUGCCCGGUGCUGGAAGGUUAAGGGAAAUUGUUAUUCCGACUUGUCGGAAGAAGCAAAGCACUGAAGCCCCAGUAAACGGCGGCCGUAACUAUAACGGUCCUAAGGUAGCGAAAUUCCUUGUCGGGUAAGUUCCGACCUGCACGAAAGGUGCAACGAUUUGGGCACUGUCUCAACUUGAGGUCCAGUGAAACUGUAGCGUCGGUGAAGAUGCCGGCUACCCGCGGCAGGACGGAAAGACCCCGUGAACCUUUACUACAACUUGAUAUUGGGUUUUGAUAUCGUAUGUGCAGGAUAGGUGGGAGACUAUGAAGUUCAGAUGCCAAUCUGGAUGGAGUCGUUGGUGAAAUACCACCCUUAUGAUGUUAGGAUUCUAACUCAGUACUAUAUAUCUAGUGCGAGAACAGUGUCAGGCAGGUAGUUUGACUGGGGCGGUCGCCUCCCAAAGAGUAACGGAGGCGCUCAAAGGUUCCCUCAGUGCGGUUGGUAAUCGCAUGGUGAGUGUAAAGGCAAAAGGGAGCUUAACUGCGAGACCGACAGGUCAAGCAGAUGGGAAACCAGGACUUAGUGAUCCGGCGGUAGCGUAUGGAAGUGCCGUCGCUCAACGGAUAAAAGGUACUCCGGGGAUAACAGGCUUAUCUCCCCCAAGAGUUCAUAUCGACGGGGAGGUUUGGCACCUCGAUGUCGGCUCGUCACAUCCUGGGGCUGGAGAAGGUCCCAAGGGUUGGGCUGUUCGCCCAUUAAAGUGGCACGCGAGCUGGGUUCAGAACGUCGUGAGACAGUUCGGUCCCUAUCCGCCGUGGGCGUAGGAAAUUUGAAAGGAUCUGCUUCUAGUACGAGAGGACCGAAGUGGACGAACCUCUGGUGCAUCUGUUAUUGCGUCAGCAGUAUUGCAGAGUAGCUAUGUUCGGACAAGAUAAGCGCUGAAAGCAUAUAAGCGCGAAGCUUACCUUAAGAUAAGAUUUCCCUUGAGAAUCUUUGU
RNAcentral lists this ribosomal RNA (2891 nucleotides) under Fidelibacterota bacterium TCS57. RNAcentral's name for it is "bacterial LSU rRNA". It matches the Rfam family "Bacterial large subunit ribosomal RNA". Lineage: Bacteria; Pseudomonadati; Fidelibacterota. The record is from RNAcentral. RNAcentral also lists the same sequence under 1 other name.